This is a long non-coding RNA of Gossypium raimondii (Peruvian cotton), 789 nucleotides long. RefSeq lists it as uncharacterized. Lineage: Eukaryota; Viridiplantae; Streptophyta; Magnoliopsida; Malvales; Malvaceae. The record is from RefSeq and is a predicted model, not a curated record. The transcript has 2 exons.
GAAGGAAAAUUGUCCACCUUUGCAUUUCUUCCCCCUCCAAAUCCAUUCCUCACAAUGAAGGAAAAAUAACUUCUUCCACUUCAUAUCAAGAAUACAUUAAUCUAUAUAAGAUGAAUGUGCAUUCCAUGUCAAAAGCAGGAGCUUUAACUACUUUUUUCAUUUCGUACUUCUUCCACUGAAGCAGCACUACAAUUUCUUUCCUUUAAUGAGUACCGAUCUGUGGCUAUUUUACGUCAUUUUCCAACACAAUUUGGAUAGCUUUCUCAUUUCUGUAACUUGAAUAGUAUUUUUCUUUCUUCAUGGGUUUAUCAGUUCUGCAGUACUUCAGAGAAUAUUUUCAUGGUGGUUGGAGAUCAGCUCAUCUUACCGGUUUGUUUUCCCUGAUGAGAUUUGGAAAACCCAGGGAUCAUAUAUUGUUUUUGCUUUGGAAGCAAAGUUUUCAGCUAUGUUGAAUCCAAAAGCUGGUUGGAGGUUGAGACUCAAAGGGGAAAGCCUUCAUGGCAGAUGAAUGCUGCUAUGCUAUGUUGAAAUUUGGAUGAAUAAAAUUCUCAUUUUACUUUUUUUUUUUUUGAAACAAAGUUAUUUAGUUUUCAAUAAAUCGUAUCGGGGAGUCAUGAAAAUGUAAACCCAACCAUUUAUAGAUUUAUAUUUUCUUAAACAUUUAUAUAGUUAUUAUAAUUUGUUAUGUCAAUGUAUUAUUAUACAGUUAUAUAAAUUUUAACGUAUUACUAAUUCAUGUAAUAUAAGUUUUGAUACAGAAAAGAUGAAAAUUUCACUUCCAACAAACAA